This 252-nucleotide ribosomal RNA is filed under the name uncultured bacterium. RNAcentral's name for it is "partial 16S ribosomal RNA". It matches the Rfam family "Bacterial small subunit ribosomal RNA", at positions 524 to 776 of the family's 1533-position model. The record is from RNAcentral.
UACGGAGGAUGCGAGCGUUAUCCGGAUUUAUUGGGUUUAAAGGGUGCGUAGGCGGGCUUUUAAGUCAGCGGUAAAAAUUCGGGGCUCAACCCCGUCCGGCCGUUGAAACUGGGGGCCUUGAGUGGGCGAGAAGUAUGCGGAAUGCGUGGUGUAGCGGUGAAAUGCAUAGAUAUCACGCAGAACUCCGAUUGCGAAGGCGGCAUACCGGCGCCCUACUGACGCUGAGGCACGAAAGCGUGGGUAUCGAACAGG